CAAUCAUACAAGCUAAAGGGCGGCAACCAUAAUGUGUUGUCCAAUGAGGGAACAUAUUGAAGGCUGUGGGCGGGUUGAGGAAUCCGCCAGUCCUUUUCAGAAGGGGGGAGAGCAUCACAGAGAAAGCGCUCUCUAGCUUCGGAUACCGUGUAACGACUCGGACGAAUUCACAUCCCAACAUCAACCAGAGCAGGGGUCAGCGGACCAACGCAUACAACCUGGGAAAUUGGGGGAUUACAUUUUUCUUUUAAAUGGAUUCCUCUGGACAUUUCCUUCGUCGAAAGAAGACCUCAUCAAAUUGACUUCAUAGACACAGAGUCAUUACGCUGGUCACCCAAGAAGAGCCUAGAGGACUGGGAUGAAGGCCCCUGGUUGACUGGCCACAGAGCCCCUCUUUCUCCAACCUGCAUCCAACUCACACAGACUGGCUGCGGUCUACAGACAAGACUGACACUAUGGUUCAGACUAACCAUAG
Oncorhynchus tshawytscha (Chinook salmon) is the source of this 475-nucleotide long non-coding RNA. The record is from Ensembl. NCBI's taxonomy places the organism in Eukaryota, Metazoa, Chordata, Actinopteri, Salmoniformes, Salmonidae.